Molecule: non-coding RNA, 308 nt
Organism: Mus caroli (Ryukyu mouse)
Lineage: Eukaryota; Metazoa; Chordata; Mammalia; Rodentia; Muridae
Source: RefSeq, a predicted model, not a curated record
CUCAUUAGACCAACCUACCGGGUUUCCUACCGCACGGUGACUGCGCUGGAGUGGAGGUGUUGCCCUGGAUUUACUGGAAGCAACUGCGAGGAAGAAUGUAUGAACUGUACCCGGCUUAGCGACAUGAGUGAGCGGCUGACCACGCUGGAGGCCAAGGUCCUCUUGCUGGAAGCAGCUGAGCAGCCUUCAGGUCCAGACAAUGACCUGCCACCCCCGCAGAGCACCCCACCAACCUGGAACGAGGACUUCCUGCCAGACGCCAUUCCCAUCGCACAUCCAGGGCCCCGGAGGAGAAGACCCACAGGUCC